RNAcentral lists this ribosomal RNA (539 nucleotides) under Salmonella enterica. RNAcentral's name for it is "partial 23S ribosomal RNA". It matches the Rfam family "Bacterial large subunit ribosomal RNA", at positions 774 to 1310 of the family's 2925-position model. The record is from RNAcentral. Lineage: Bacteria; Pseudomonadati; Pseudomonadota; Gammaproteobacteria; Enterobacterales; Enterobacteriaceae.
CCGAACCGACUAAUGUUGAAAAAUUAGCGGAUGACCUGUGGCUGGGGGUGAAAGGCCAAUCAAACCGGGAGAUAGCUGGUUCUCCCCGAAAGCUAUUUAGGUAGCGCCUCGUGAAUUCAUCUCCGGGGGUAGAGCACUGUUUCGGCUAGGGGGCCAUCCCGGCUUACCAACCCGAUGCAAACUGCGAAUACCGGAGAAUGUUAUCACGGGAGACACACGGCGGGUGCUAACGUCCGUCGUGAAGAGGGAAACAACCCAGACCGCCAGCUAAGGUCCCAAAGUCAUGGUUAAGUGGGAAACGAUGUGGGAAGGCCCAGACAGCCAGGAUGUUGGCUUAGAAGCAGCCAUCAUUUAAAGAAAGCGUAAUAGCUCACUGGUCGAGUCGGCCUGCGCGGAAGAUGUAACGGGGCUAAACCAUGCACCGAAGCUGCGGCAGCGACACUGUGUGUUGUUGGGUAGGGGAGCGUUCUGUAAGCCUGUGAAGGUGUGUCGUGAGGCAUGCUGGAGGUAUCAGAAGUGCGAAUGCUGACAUAAGUAAC